Molecule: long non-coding RNA, 1769 nt
Organism: Phyllopteryx taeniolatus (common seadragon)
Lineage: Eukaryota; Metazoa; Chordata; Actinopteri; Syngnathiformes; Syngnathidae
Exons: 5
Source: RefSeq, a predicted model, not a curated record
GCAUCCUCCUCUCGAACACCAACUGCCAUCAUGUCUUCCCUCACGACAUCCAUCAACCUUCUCUUUGGUCUUCCUCUAGCUCUCUUGCCUGGCAGCUCCAUCCUCAUCAUCCUUCUACCAAUAUACUCACUCUCUCUCCUCUGGACGUGUCCAAACCAUUGCCGAAAGGAGCUGUUUGCAUUUUGAAAUCAGUGACGCCUUUUGACUGCUAAGUCCCUCCUGUACAGUAAUUGGCGCUAUGUACCACAAAGAGUUGUAGUCCACAUUUAUUAGGUGAAGAAGAAGAAUCGCCGCAGAAGAAGAUAAUCUACGACGUCAUUCUAAAGUAAGGUUUACGACUGUGGUGUCCUACCUAAUGAGUCACUGCUUAGAAACAAUUUUGUGUUCAGAUAGCAGAUCGUUUUGCUAGCAGCCACGGGUAUCAAGCUAAAGUUAGCAUGGAGUGACAUCUCAUGGCGGUAAAAACGAAAACUUAUCACUCAGCGCUUGCAGUGUUUCAAUAAGCAGCAAAUAGGUAUAGCCUACCUGUAAUUCAAGUGAAUUCUGCCUUUUUAUUUCAGUAUUUUGUCUGUUUUAUUUUAUUAUUUGAUUCAAGAAGUCUGCAUUUUUCAACUACAAAAAAAAGAAGUCUGCUUGUUCAUGUUUCAUAUAGAUAAACUUCAUGUUUUCAGCAUAAAGGCUUUUGUAUGACUGGGCUAUUUUUUGUGUGAAAUAAAUUUGAGUUGCUAAAGAAUGUCAAAAAUGUAGGUUGUGACUUAAUGACUAAGUUAAAUUUUGGGUCCUGAGGCAAAACCAGUUGGGAACCACUGAGAAGCUGAACGUUUGAAUAUUAAACAGUGGUCUAUUUCCCCUGACGUUUUUUAGGCUUUAAGUGGGGAUUUGUUAACAUUGUUCAAUUAUAAGUGAUGCUAAGAGUAACAAAACUGGCCUAUUUUUUCCCCAUAGGGUCUGUUGAGAAAUGGAAAGACAGGGGGACAAGACAUAUAACUUCUUUUUAAAGAGAAGCAAGUCAGGUUCAGCGUCUACAACUCAUAACUCCAAGUUCACCGCAUAGUUGAGUUGCCGAUCACCUUAAACGAGUGACACGAGCGCACGAGUUUGUGUGGGAAAAGGGCGAGCCGGAAGUCGAUACCCAUCCUGCUCAAUCACCUCUGACCGCUCCACACGGGGAUUGUGUUGCCGCAAUCCCACUCCCUGUGGCUACCUAACAUCCUGCAUGAUCAGACGGAGAGAUGAGCGAAGUGGGGGUGGGGGCGAGAAGAGGUGGAGCAGAAUGGAAGAUCAGCAUCCCUUUUAUGCCUGAACGAGAGGAGGAAGCGGGCCCGAGGAGCGACAGAGGGGCCCCACCGCCCCCACCAGCAGCCAGAGCAGGUGACCCAGGUGGGCACCAGCUGCCACCGCUCCAGCACCCAUGGAACAUGGGGAUGAAAAAUGGGGUCUGACUUAUUCUGGAUAAGACCCCGCCGAUAUCAGUCAGAUUUUUUAUGGCGGUUUCUGGUGAGGGGGGAUGGGAGGAAGAUCUUGGCUUGGUGUGUGUUGGAUUCCAAUAUUGACAACAGCCCUCAUCCUGUCCAUCACACCUAACAGUUUUUCUUUUUUUUUUAAUAAAUCAGCAAACAUUUUAACAAUUCCGUCUUUUUUUCCUGUAAAUAUGGGGUGCUGUGUGUACAUUGAAGAAAAGAAAUGAACUUAAAUGAUUUUAGCAAAUGGUUGCAAUACAACAGAGUGAAAAAUUUAAGGGUGUCCGAAUACUUUCCGUACCCACUGUA